RNAcentral lists this ribosomal RNA (117 nucleotides) under uncultured Methanobrevibacter sp. RNAcentral's name for it is "partial 16S ribosomal RNA". It matches the Rfam family "Archaeal small subunit ribosomal RNA", at positions 355 to 473 of the family's 1478-position model. The record is from RNAcentral. Lineage: Archaea; Methanobacteriati; Methanobacteriota; Methanobacteria; Methanobacteriales; Methanobacteriaceae.
AUGUGAGCAUCGCGACGGGGGGAUCCCAAGUGCCAUUCUUAACGGGAUGGCUUUUCUUAAGUGUAAAGAGCUUUUGGAAUAAGAGCUGGGCAAGACCGGUGCCAGCAGCCGCGGUAA